UUUAUGCAUGCGUAACCGGAAAUGUAGGAGCUCCUCUCACUCCGCUCGUGAUAUUGUCUGACUUGUUUGUAAUGGUUUUUUGGUUAACAUGCGCCAGAUUGAUGAGUGGCCAAAUUGUACACAGCCGCAAAUUGUGGCAAUUUCGGUUACUGUCAACGCUACACACACACACACACACACAAAGUCUGGGGGCUUUCUUGCACCAGCACAGGCAAACUCAAAGGACGAGACCCACACACACGUACAGCUGCAAAAGGCGUAAGCAUGUGGCAAGUGUGCAGGCACGUUUUUAUAUUGCAGCAGCCAGCAGAGCGCUUGUUUGCAUGCCAACAAGGAGUGGCUGCCGGAACAGAAGCCGCAUCCGAAUCCGAAUCUAAAUCAGAAUCAGAAUCAGGAACAGGAACAGCAAACAGGAGAGAAAGGCAGGUUGCAACAGAGACAUCCACAUCCAGACAUCCACUCCAGUCGGAGUCAGGCUCUGUUGCGGUUGCAACAACUCGUUGGGGGCAUUCCAGAAAGUUGUACUGGUCGGUGGGAUUUCGAGCUUAGAGCUUGGACCAGCUGCAUUCCAUGCGAGUGCUUGGGCAUCAGCACAUUUUUGAGCAUUUGAAGACAAACACAAACAGAAGCAUUUUUGCCGGUUUUUUAAUAUUUGUGGUGAAACAAAGUCAUAAUUUAAUUUGUUCCAUAGCCGCACUAAAGAGUUAAAACUCAAACGAGAAAGCUCUUUUAAUAUAGGAAGGAAUAUAGAAGUACGAGGCUUGAUGAAACCGUGAAACUUAAAUAAUUGUGUUGCUCUGUUCAAAGUUUCCAAGAAAGUAUUGUGCGCGAGGUCGAAUGGCAUUCGAUUGUGUCACACGGGGCGGAUGCUUGACGUGACGUGCGCCAAGCUGGAACGGUAACUGCAAUUUGAUAAAGCAGAAUGACAAGUGCAGCACAGCAAAAGGUCAGCAUUCCAGCAAACAGCAAGCACCAUCCCCCCGUGCUCCUAUCUCUUAUGUCCUGUAUUCUCUCCACGCUGCCCAUUUGCAACUGACAGAAGUCAGCGGGAAGGUGACAGGCGAAAACCAGGUAAGACCGUCAAAAAGAAAUCGCUUGGCAUGUGAUGCCAACAUCAGAAACAGUAAUCCCCAAUGAUAAGGCGUCACGGUUGUCGCAGCUAUGAAAGCCAGUGGGCAGAAACGCCCACGUUGCGUUAUUUAUUUGAACUCAUCUGCCGAGCAGGAGCUCUAUGUCAUCGGUGAGGGCAACUGGUUCCAGUUCGGCGCCAUAUCUUUUGUAAAUGUUUCCCCUUCGAUCCACCAGAAACUUGACAAAA
Drosophila yakuba is the source of this 1318-nucleotide long non-coding RNA. RefSeq lists it as uncharacterized. The record is from RefSeq and is a predicted model, not a curated record. NCBI's taxonomy places the organism in Eukaryota, Metazoa, Arthropoda, Insecta, Diptera, Drosophilidae. The transcript has 2 exons.